RNAcentral lists this ribosomal RNA (464 nucleotides) under uncultured bacterium. RNAcentral describes it as "partial 16S ribosomal RNA". It matches the Rfam family "Bacterial small subunit ribosomal RNA", at positions 28 to 506 of the family's 1533-position model. The record is from RNAcentral.
GACGAACGCUGGCGGCGUGCUUAACACAUGCAAGUCGAACGGAAAGGCCCUGCUUGCUGGGUACUCGAGUGGCGAACGGGUGAGUAACACGUGGGUGAUCUGCCCUGCACUUCGGGAUAAGCCUGGGAAACUGGGUCUAAUACCGGAUAGGAGCCAUUUUUAGUGUGAUGGUUGGAAAGUUUUUUCGGUGUAGGAUGAGCUCGCGGCCUAUCAGCUUGUUGGUGGGGUAAUGGCCUACCAAGGCGGCGACGGGUAGCCGGCCUGAGAGGGUGGACGGCCACAUUGGGACUGAGAUACGGCCCAGACGCCUACGGGAGGCAGCAGUGGGGAAUAUUGCACAAUGGGCGCAAGCCUGAUGCAGCGACGCCGCGUGGGGGAUGACGGCCUUCGGGUUGUAAACUCCUUUCGCUAGGGACGAAGCUUUUUGUGACGGUACCUAGAUAAGAAGCACCGGCAAACUACGU